This 159-nucleotide ribosomal RNA is filed under the name Hypogymnia hultenii. RNAcentral's name for it is "5.8S ribosomal RNA". It matches the Rfam family "5.8S ribosomal RNA". Rfam says of the family: 5.8S ribosomal RNA (5.8S rRNA) is a component of the large subunit of the eukaryotic ribosome. It is transcribed by RNA polymerase I as part of the 45S precursor that also contains 18S and 28S rRNA. Functionally, it is thought that 5.8S rRNA may be involved in ribosome translocation. The record is from RNAcentral. Lineage: Eukaryota; Fungi; Ascomycota; Lecanoromycetes; Lecanorales; Parmeliaceae.
AAAACUUUCAACAACGGAUCUCUUGGUUCCAGCAUCGAUGAAGAACGCAGCGAAAUGCGAUAAGUAAUGUGAAUUGCAGAAUUCAGUGAAUCAUCGAAUCUUUGAACGCACAUUGCGCCCCUCGGUAUUCCGGGGGGCAUGCCUGUCCGAGCGUCAUUA